This 387-nucleotide ribosomal RNA is filed under the name uncultured bacterium. RNAcentral describes it as "bacterial SSU rRNA". It matches the Rfam family "Bacterial small subunit ribosomal RNA", at positions 29 to 416 of the family's 1533-position model. The record is from RNAcentral.
AUUGAACGCUGGCGGCAUGCCUUACACAUGCAAGUCGAACGGCAGCACGGGGGGCAACCCUGGUGGCGAGUGGCGAACGGGUGAGUAACACAUCGGAACGUGUCCUGUUGUGGGGGAUAACCAGUCGAAAGACUGGCUAAUACCGCAUGAGCUGGAGACAGGAAAGCGGGGGACCUGAAAGGGCCUCGUGCGAUUGGAGCGGCCGAUGUCCGAUUAGCUAGUUGGUGGGGAAAGGCCCACCAAGGCGACGAUCGGUAGCUGGUCUGAGAGGAUGAUCAGCCACACUGGGACUGAGACACGGCCCAGACUCCUACGGGAGGCAGCAGUGGGGAAUUUGGACAAUGGGGGCAACCCUGAUCCAGCCAUGCCGCGUGAGUGAAGAAGGCC